AGAAGGAUCCUUUGAUUCUGUGGUUGAUGGAUGUGAUGGAGUAUUUCAUACAGCAUCCCCAGUUGUGAUGAUAGUUGACGAUCCCCAGUUGGGAUUCUUCAAGAGUUUGGGAGGUGGGAGGAGUCCUAGAGGGAGAGCACUGUGCAGAGAGACCAACUUAGCUGGCUAAUGGAUUAUUCGGCUUCAGAGAAAUGCUUGGAUACAUCAGAACAUGAGAAAAUCUUUCAUUGACUUGUGUGCUAAUGUCUAUUAUCCCACAACUCUUUGAAUGCUUGUCACUGUAGAGUUCUUUAGGUUCCCUUAAAUGUAUAUACAUUCUUUUUUGGAUCAGAGAUCAAUAUGCCUUCCCGUCGAAGAGUGGUUUUGUGCUGGAGGAGGCACUGCCUGUGCUAUUUCUAGACUCCUGACUGUGGCCAGUCCACUCUGCACUUUUUUCAGUUUCCGGACACAACAUGUUAUACAAUUAACAUACCAGCUUCUAUGUGAUCGAAUUCAGCUCCACCUCAAUCAUUGGAAUUAGCAGCAUGCCAACAAUCACAGUGUGGGCACCAGUUUUAGUUAUUCACCUGCCUUGCUUUUCUGGUGAAGUCAGGCAGCAUCUUUUCAUUUCAGAAUGUGGCAUGCUGUUGUUUGUGACUUUUUGGCCAUCAGAGCAAUUGUGGAUGGCCCUUCAAUAGACAAAACUUUAUAGGUGUGUGUUUGUGCCAAAUCAAGGGUCAAGUUAUGAAUGAAAA
This is a long non-coding RNA of Vitis riparia (riverbank grape), 734 nucleotides long. RefSeq lists it as uncharacterized. The record is from RefSeq and is a predicted model, not a curated record. Lineage: Eukaryota; Viridiplantae; Streptophyta; Magnoliopsida; Vitales; Vitaceae. The transcript has 2 exons.